GGAGCCUGCGGCUUAAUUUGACUCAACACGGGGAAACUCACCCGGCCCGGACACCGUGAGGAUUGACAGAUUGGGAGCUCUUUCUUGAUUCGGUGGGUGGUGGUGCAUGGCCGUUCUUAGUUGGUGGAGCGAUCUGUCUGGUUAAUUCCGAUAACGAACGAGACCCCGGCCUGCUAAAUAGUCCGCCCCCCCGCCAAUGGGAGGGGCGAACCCCAAGACUUCUUAGAGGGAGACUCGGCGUCGAACAGCCGACUGAACGGGGGCGAUAACAGGUCUGUGAUGCCCUUAGAUGUCCGGGGCCGCACGCGCGCUACACUGAAAGAGUCAGAGGGUCGAGUCCUGGCCUGACGUGGCCGGGCAAUCCGAUAACCUCUAUCGUGCUAGGGACUGGGGCUUGCAAUUGUCCCCACCAACGAGGAAUUCCCAGUAAGCGCGAGUCAUCAGCUCGUGUUGAUCACGUCCCUGCCCUUUGUACACACCGCCCGUCGCUACUACCGAUUGGAUGGUUUAGUGAGGCCCUCGGACGGGCCCCGGGCCGGCUCCCCUCGGGGGUCGGCUGUCUUGGUGCUGCCCGAAAGGGGG
RNAcentral lists this ribosomal RNA (582 nucleotides) under Megasyllis inflata. RNAcentral describes it as "bacterial SSU rRNA". It matches the Rfam family "Eukaryotic small subunit ribosomal RNA", at positions 1178 to 1758 of the family's 1831-position model. The record is from RNAcentral. Lineage: Eukaryota; Metazoa; Annelida; Polychaeta; Phyllodocida; Syllidae.